RNAcentral lists this non-coding RNA (21 nucleotides) under Caenorhabditis elegans. Lineage: Eukaryota; Metazoa; Nematoda; Chromadorea; Rhabditida; Rhabditidae. The record is from RNAcentral.
UGAACAAAUGAAAAUUUGACC